Molecule: ribosomal RNA, 253 nt
Filed under: uncultured bacterium
Lineage: Bacteria
Description: partial 16S ribosomal RNA
Rfam family: Bacterial small subunit ribosomal RNA
Source: RNAcentral
UACAGGGGGGGCAAGCGUUGUUCGGAAUUACUGGGCGUAAAGGGUCAGUAGGCGGCCAACUAAGUCCGACGUGAAAUCCCCAGGCUUAACCUGGGAACUGCGUCGGAUACUGGAUGGCUUGAAUUCGGGAGAGGGAUGCAGAAUUCCAGGUGUAGCGGUGAAAUGCGUAGAUAUCUGGAGGAAUACCGGUGGCGAAGGCGGCAUCCUGGACCGAGAUUGACGCUGAGGAGCGAAAGCUAGGGGAGCAAACGGG